Molecule: non-coding RNA, 21 nt
Organism: Caenorhabditis elegans
Lineage: Eukaryota; Metazoa; Nematoda; Chromadorea; Rhabditida; Rhabditidae
Source: Ensembl
UGACUCAACUAACCUGAAUUU